GAUGAACGCUGGCGGCGUGCCUAAUACAUGCAAGUCGAGCGAACAGACGAGGAGCUUGCUCCUCUGACGUUAGCGGCGGACGGGUGAGUAACACGUGGAUAACCUACCUAUAAGACUGGGAUAACUUCGGGAAACCGGAGCUAAUACCGGAUAAUAUAUUGAACCGCAUGGUUCAAUAGUGAAAGACGGUUUUGCUGUCACUUAUAGAUGGAUCCGCGCCGCAUUAGCUAGUUGGUAAGGUAACGGCUUACCAAGGCAACGAUGCGUAGCCGACCUGAGAGGGUGAUCGGCCAGACUGGAACUGAGAUACGGUCCAGACUCCUACGGGAGGAAGCAGUAGGGAAUCUUCCGCAAUGGGCGAAAGCCUGACGGAGCAACGCCGCGUGAGUGAUGAAGGUCUUCGGAUCGUAAAACUCUGUUAUUAGGGAAGAACAAAUGUGUAAGUAACUAUGCACGUCUUGACGGUACCUAAUCAGAAAGCCACGGCUAACUACGUG
RNAcentral lists this ribosomal RNA (497 nucleotides) under uncultured bacterium. RNAcentral describes it as "partial 16S ribosomal RNA". It matches the Rfam family "Bacterial small subunit ribosomal RNA", at positions 28 to 507 of the family's 1533-position model. The record is from RNAcentral.